UGAGGAAUAUUGGUCAAUGGGCGCAAGCCUGAACCAGCCAUGCCGCGUGCAGGAUGAAGCAUCGAUGGUGUGUAAACUGCUUUUGUACGGGAAGAAACACCUCUACGUGUAGAGGCUUGACGGUACCGUAAGAAUAAGGAUCGGCUAACUCCGUGCCAGCAGCCGCGGUAAUACGGAGGAUCCAAGCGUUAGCCGGAAUCAUUGGGUUUAAAGGGUCCGUAGGCGGUUUUAUAAGUCAGUGGUGAAAUCCGGCAGCUCAACUGUCGAACUGCCAUUGAUACUGUAGAACUUGAAUUAUUGUGAAGUAACUAGAAUAUGUAGUGUAGCGGUGAAAUGCUUAGAUAUUACAUGGAAUACCCAUUGCGAAGGCAGGUUACUAACAAUUGAUUGACGCUGAUGGACGAAAGCGUGGGGAGCGAACAGG
Molecule: ribosomal RNA, 424 nt
Filed under: bacterium
Lineage: Bacteria
Description: partial 16S ribosomal RNA
Rfam family: Bacterial small subunit ribosomal RNA
Source: RNAcentral